Molecule: RNA transcript, 1464 nt
Organism: Raphanus sativus (radish)
Lineage: Eukaryota; Viridiplantae; Streptophyta; Magnoliopsida; Brassicales; Brassicaceae
Exons: 3
Source: RefSeq, a predicted model, not a curated record
GUCUUGGGAUUUAAUUACUUAAGCUAAUUUUGUAUGUUUAGGUAUUGAUUUGUUAAACAGCUUCAAUAGAAGCAAUAUGUAAUCUAUAUAUAAUAGCAAACCAGUUUUUGUUUUCUUUGACAUCAGCAUUUUUUUAUAGGAAAAUAAAAUGAAGAUCUAAUGGUUCAGAUUGAUUUGGUAUUUAAUCCAAGGGUUCUACUUCUUCUAGGUGAUGUCAUCUUUUUUUAAAAUAGAAUUUAAUCCAAUGGUUGAGAUUACCAAAGCUUUUAAUCCAAGGGUCGAGAUUAAACUUACCUUUUGUAUAGACAAAGACGACGCUACCAAAGCUUUGUGUCGGUAGCAAAGCAUUGCGUCUGUUAAUGGAGUCGUGACCCAUGUUGCCAUUAACAUUCUCGAAUGUUGGAGCUUCAUUUAUGAAGACAAGAUUCCAACACCAGAAGCUGAUGGUGUCUGUUUCAUCUGGUCUGAACCGAGGCUGGUUGUCAUAAUUGCUGCUAGACUUUGAAGUGAAUACAUCGUGAUUGUGGUUGCUCUUGGAUCAUGUGAUGCCUGCCUCUCCACGUGUUUUCUCACUGGGCAUCCAGAAGAUGUGCACUUGUAGUAGCUCUUACAAAAAGCCAAAGGAACAUUACGAAGCAUAAUAUCUUCCAUAUUCCAAACCCAGUUCCAAAGGGAAUCAAGAACUUUAUGCACAAACUAAACAACUAGCCCUUGAAGACAAAAAUCAAGCUUUUUCUGGCUAUCAUCUUGAACUACAAGUUUUGCUUUUGUAUGUUCGUUGAGAGGAAAGAGUGUCGUGGUCAUACGAACCUGGAAUUUGAGUAUCCCCUUACGACGUUCUGCCCAUACUCAUCCCACAUAUUUCCAUCAUACAGUAUGACAAUCGUACCAAGAAUUUGAAAAACAACCCGAGGCUCCCGAAUGGGUUUCACAAGUGGAGUUGUUUCCAUGAUCCCGUCCAACCUCCUGCAUAAAGUUAGAAGAAAGUUUUGUUCAUGUCAAAUCACUGUUACAAAGCAAGCAUCAUCUUCCUGGUCGUCUCUAUUCUUAUUUGACACCUUAACUUCACCACCCCCGUCAGUUGUAGGAUGUUAUUCAGGAUUACCAGUUUGCUCAAUGGCCUGUGACAAGUUGUAGAUCGCCAGAGCCCUUCUCUGUAUGCAGGGAAAAAAAAGUAGAAUAAACAAAUGUAAUUACAGGUUUUGCCAAGGAAAGUGCAUGCUAUCAUAUCUAAAAUUUUAGUUUAAGUUACCUGGAGAAUACUUACUGCGUCUUCAACGAAACUGCCAAGACGGCUUAAAUGCUGAUUGGAUAAGCUUUGUUCUCCAUCCCAAAAACAUAUCCUUGACCACCAUAUUCGAAGUAGAAUAAUGCAGAAACAUCCUUUCACAUGCUUUAUCAAAAAUUGAUCAAUGCACUUUUUCACAUAUCUAUCUUUUUAAUUUCUAAACGACACAUUUUUAA